CCUACGGGUGGCAGCAGUGAGGAAUAUUGGUCAAUGGGCGCGAGCCUGAACCAGCCAAGUAGCGUGAAGGUUGACUGCCCUACGGGUUGUAAACUUCGUUUAUAAAGGAAUAAAGUGAGGCACGUGUGCCUUUUUGUAUGUACUUUAUGAAUAAGGAUCGGCUAACUCCGUGCUAGCAGCCGCGGUAAAACGGAGGAUCCGGGCUUUACCCGGAUUGCUUGGGGUUAAAGGGAGCGUAGAUGGGUUGUUCAGUCCGUUGUGAAAGUUUGCGGCUCAACCGUAAAAUUGCAAUUGGUACUGGCAGCCUGGAGUGCAGUUGCGGUAGGCGGAAUUCGUGGUGUAGCGGUGAAAUGCGUAGAUAUCACGAAGAACUCCGAUUGCGAAGGCAGCUUACUAAGCUGCCACUGACAUUGAUGCUCGAAAGUGUGGGUAUCAAACAGGAUUAGAUACCCCUGUAGUC
This 460-nucleotide ribosomal RNA is filed under the name uncultured bacterium. Its description in RNAcentral is "partial 16S ribosomal RNA". It matches the Rfam family "Bacterial small subunit ribosomal RNA", at positions 338 to 795 of the family's 1533-position model. The record is from RNAcentral.